This 293-nucleotide ribosomal RNA is filed under the name uncultured bacterium. RNAcentral describes it as "partial 16S ribosomal RNA". It matches the Rfam family "Bacterial small subunit ribosomal RNA", at positions 594 to 885 of the family's 1533-position model. The record is from RNAcentral.
GUGAAAGUUCGAGGCUCAACUUCGGAAUUGCCUUAGAAACUGGGUGGCUAGAGUGCAGGAGAGGGCAAUGGAAUUCCAUGUGUAGCGGUAAAAUGCGUAGAUAUUCGGAGGAACACCAGUGGCGAAGGCGGCUUUCUGGACCAAUACUGACGCUCAGAUGCGAAAGCGUGGGUAGCAAACAGGAUUAGAUACCCUGGUAGUCCACGCCGUAAACGAUGGGUACUANGUGUUGCGGGUAACCACUCCUGCAGUGCCGCANCUAACGCAUUAAGUACCCCGCCUGGGGAGUACGG